AUGGGCCCUCUUGAGGCAGACCCACAUGUCAUUGGUGUAACUAUUUACACUCCGAAGGACGCUUGCGCGUACCAUAUCCCCCCACUCACUGCUCGGCCACACGAGGAGAAGCGUCUUCGCUCACCCACCCGAAUCAACUUCCCCGCUGGCUCGCAGGCACCGAACACCCCAAUUGCAGAACCGACUGACACGCAGAGACGCGAUUGGAAUUCCCUCCAAAGUGUUCUCUUGGAGCAGAUCUGUAAUCGUAUGGACCUACUCAGCAUUGUCCGUCUGGCCGCAAGCUCGGUGUCUUUGUACCGUCUACUCGUCUACAAUCGGCGGGCUCUUUUCAAGACACCCUGCUUGAUGAUACCCUAUCACCGUAGGUGGCCCAAACAUCAACUUGACGAUCCUACGGAGGUUGCCGUGGUGCCCCUCGACAUGCUACCACUACCUGUCCACCUGUACUUCAUGCGCGGCCACUACUGGGCGGGCAUGAAGGCCAACUGGAUCGUCCUCAUCCACCAAUCUGUAGACACAAAUGCGCUGGCCUUCAUGAUUCCAGGACCUGGAAUCAUACCAACCAAUGGGUGGUGGUUUAUCUCUCGUUUAGCUGACGGUGGUCAUUUGAUGCUCAUUCGCACGUACCAAAUUGACCAAACCAUUACAUCAAACCACAUGCAGUACAAUGCAUGGGGCGUUCAUGACAUUGAUGGCUAUGGCUGCUUCAUGUUCGAGAAAGAUCCCAGCUCUGUUGGGCCAGGCGUAUUCAACUGGAGGCGGGUUUACAGCCUCGGCAACCACUCCAUGUUCCUUGGGCUCAGUUAUCCGAUCAUCCAACCAAUCAUCGAUCAUAUCACCGGCGAUGAUUAA
RNAcentral lists this ribosomal RNA (855 nucleotides) under Triticum aestivum (bread wheat). RNAcentral describes it as "partial small subunit ribosomal RNA". Lineage: Eukaryota; Viridiplantae; Streptophyta; Magnoliopsida; Poales; Poaceae. The record is from RNAcentral.